GGUUAAUGAGGGUGACAAUAAAAAAAACACAACACAACAACUGAACCAACACCCUGAGGUGGCACGUAACAUAUAUAUACACACAUAUCAGCUGAAUAGCUAGUGAGACACCUAUACACAUGCAUUUGUUAAAAAUAUACAUUAUAAAUGUUAGUGUUUAAAACCCAGAAAAGAAAUAAGUGACUUUGAAAUGUGUUUUUUCCAUUUAUUUUGAAUAAAUGUGAACUUGACAGCUCAUAACUGUGAUGGGUUUCUAAACGGAGUGAUAAUUAAGAAAUAGUUGAAAAACACGAAACAUUGUUGAACUACACUGAUACAUACAAGCAUUUUAUGCAAGCUAAAAGUAAGAAUAAAUAGCUGAAUGUGUUUUGUUGAAUAUUUUGAACUUUUCAGUGUUUGCACAAUGGACAAACACUAAAAUACUGCACAGUAGAUAGCCGAAACAUCUAGCUUUUAGCAUUUAAUGUGUGGCUGAACUGAAUUGCCAAGUGGUGCAUGUCAUUUAAAAAAAAAGUAUUGAAAAAAAUUCAAAAUAAUGGGGUAAAAAUAACAUUCAAUUAUAAUAAAUGUGGAGCAUUAGUGGAGGUGCUGAAGUAGUGGUGCUGUAGAUCAGCUGACAGCGCUCUAGGUGGGAAGCUGAUGAAAAAGAAUGGAAAUCACUGUUCUGUGAUAUAUCCUUUUUUACAUCUCUAGGUAUGCAGUCAGUUUCAGAACAUACUAGACAGCACGAGCAACAGACUGAAACAGUGCUCCCUUUGAUCAAGACCAAGUGAGUCCUCAUCUUUUGUCUUGCCACUGGCGGCGUUGGCAUGGAAACACCACCAGAGUGGGGAACACUGUGGUCGAUCAGCAAAUGGGUCACAUGGAGAGGAAAACAAGCACAACCCCACACACGUACACACAGAGACUCAUAGAUGUGCGGCAACCCCCUUUACAUCAAGUGUAGUGUUACAAAGUAAAGAAACCCCUGACCUAUUUCGCCACAACGCUCCUCUUUCUUUUGCACAACAUGCUUAUGUUGCAACAUGCAAUACAGUUAAAGUAUAAACCGUGACCCGUAUGGUUUUUGGCCUUUUGCAGAGGGCUGGGUGAAAGUUGCCUUUAUGUGGAUGCCAGUUUGAAAAAUGGAAAGGCCUCUUCAAGACGAAUGCAAAGAGAGGUGUAUUGAGCGGCGCUUGUAAAAUGACUCUCUGAGACAGCACCAACUACCUGCCGGUGAUGCCGGGUGAAGCAGGAAGAGGUUUUAGAUUGCAGUGGCCUUUCUGCAGCUUUGUCCUGAGUGAGGAGAUCCCUUCACGGUGAUACUCACUACAGAGAAAAAAAAGAGAAGAGUAGAGGUGAAGGGGGAUCAUUAUUUGAAAUUCAUUCAUAUUUCUAGAUGUCCUUCUGACCGAUUCACAGCCCACGACAGUGUGUACUUGGCUUCGUUUAUGGCUCACAAACCAGUCGGAGAUUUAGUGCUACUGGCUUUAUGUGUGUCUUGGUCCACCGCCACAACUUGGUGACCUUGUAAAAGUAUCUGCAGGGCAACGUGAUGCAAUAAAAGAUCAUGUUUACUGCAGCAAAAUCUGCAGAGGCCAAAAAAAGAAGUUUGCAACAGAAAUAACUUCUACAUCUGGCAUUAUUUUUGCAAUUUGUAGCAAAUAGUGACGCAAAGAGAUGCAGUGCAAAGAAUGUAUAUAUAUAAAUAUAUAUAUAUACACACACACACACACACACAUAUAUUUCAGUAUGUCUGACUGGGCUUGCUCUCCUACGUGGUUCAGGACUGGCAUUCAGUUACAUCAUUCUUCAGAGAACGGAAGCUCAGAUUACAGGAAAGGCAAACACAGGCCUCUGGGGUCUGUGAGUGUGUGUAUCACUCUGUGUGUGUGUGUGUGUGUGCAGUCGCUAUCCCUGUAUGCUCGUCUUAUAUAACCAAUCAGAAUGCCCGACAUGUUUCUCUUGAUGGAUGCGAUUACGUUUGGGUUCAGAUUUCAUCAUUUAAUUCGACACACAGUUUCAGGGUUGUUUGUAUAGCUGAGAUUUGGGUGAUGUGUUUGUCUCCGAGCACUUUCAUAUGCAUCUUGUUCACAUAUUCCCUCUUACUGAGGUAGAAUACACUUAGUUAUUUAACUGAAACACGAUAUCGCUUUCAAAACACAUUUCGGUGAUAUUUAUUCUGUAAUAACUCCAUAUUUAAUAUAAAUUCACAGAGUGCAACACAGAGUUUUUGCAUUUUGGAGCCUGAAAAAAUGAUCAAAGCUGAAGAGGUCAUUCGAGGUCCUUGAACUGGAUUUCACAAGUAAAGCCUUUAACAGCAAAAACAGAGGCCUUACUUGCAGACAGCAUAUUUAUCCUGCGUUUCUCCCUCAGUAGGUAGAUAAUAUGGAGGGUUUAAAGCUGGGAGCGUCAUCAUCAGGCAGGUUGAGCAUGUGGUAAAGCAGAAGUCAGGGCACAGUGUUGCACAUGGUUCACCAAGCAUCUCCUCUCUUAUCUGUAGCAACAACGUGUGAGUUAAAUUAGUGCUGUAUAAUUAACAAGACAAAAUGGGCCUGCAGAUGUUCCAGAGUCAAUUGAACAUCAAUAACUCCAGCUGAGGCCAGUUGCUCUCCCUCAUCCUUCUUUUCUUUCUCUUUCCAGGCAGUGGACUUGAGAUGAAUUUCACAGUCUGUUUGAAGCUGCUUUUCAGCCCUGUGGAUGAAUGGAUACAGUGUUUCUGUAUGCUGCUGCUGCUGCUACUGAUGCUGAUGCUGCCAUUUCUCUCUCAGCAUCUCUGGAGCUGGAGGGCUGUCAGAGGCGUCUGCUGCUGCUCGCUGCUUCCUGCCACUCACAGCUUUCAGGCUCUGAUCGCAGCAAUUUCAGCCGGCCCCAUUGUUUAUGUGCGCCGGAGUGCUGAAGCAUGUAAGAAGAGUGCCAUCCCAGCACCAUUCACAUAACCUACCAUAAGAGACAUGCACUGCUGGGCUUCAAAGCUCUCUCACUUUCAGUAAUGUAAAUGUUUUGCCCCCUGAUAACAACAGGAUGUUGCUAGUGAAAAUGUAGUGCAAUCAGUUGUGCGUGACAUUACAAAAAUAUGUUUUUCUUAACCCCAGCACUAUAUUUAUACCUUAUUGUUUUUGGUGGUUUCAUUUCUCUAGGUUUUAAAGCGUCUAUCUUCCUGUGUUUGAGAGAUCACUUUUAUUGAGAAUACUUUUAACACAACAUAGAUAAUGAGCUCUAGCCACCCCAGCUACCUGGCCUCAGUGCAACCACUCAGCUGUCUGAAAAGCAAUGGAUUCACCAACUUCACAGCAUAAAUAUCAAAUUUUAACAGAAAGAAUGAUAACUGGAUGGAAAAGCAUAAUAGUUUCACUUUAAAGAUAUAACAUUCUAUUUAGGACCAAUAUGUUGCAGAUCCACCAAUGUCCUCCCUGCCCUUCUUUACAUACUUUAGAGCAGGGGCUCUUAUUGGGAAUAAGAUCCUGGAUAUGGGCAUCUUUUUAAAUUUUUCUCCAGCUGCCCAUUGACCGUUGGAGACACCUUUCAAGCAGAGGCUUAAUCUAUGUAGACAUAUGACACGUUGGACACUUUUUUUUCUUUAAAGACAAGAAAUUGAAUGCACUACGAUUAUGCAUAAACACCCCCUCAGUCAUCCUUUAAAAUCCCCCCUCCCCUGUCUGCUCCUGAUCAAACCAGUUAAAAAAAACAACAAUCAUAAGUUCGGCAAACCAACCACUGCCUAAACUCAAAAGCCAAAAAUCGUUAGCCCCAGUGCUCAAUUCCUAAGUCACUGUUAACUGUCCUUGUAUUAAGAACAUUGUCUUUAACUUGCUAGCUAGAUAGCACCAUCCAGUAUUCAGAAGUGAAUCCACCCCUUAGCAAAAAUCACUUACAUUGCAAAAGAUCCUAUUUAUAUUUGUAGCAACGGCACACCUGCUUAGAUCAACAAUAUGUUAUUUGAUGAUAUCCAGAACUAAGCAGUUAAGAUUUACUAGGUUAUAUUAAAAAUGCAGGCCUCACAGUAGAAACCAUUUCAUCUUUCAUUGCUGAAAGACUCUGAUUACUUUUGCUUACUUCAGAUGCCCAGCUUUCUUUUACACAACAGAGUCAAUCCUACUUGACACGAGAGACCAGCGUUGCAUAAAUUUCUUUGGAGAGGUGUUCUGUUGCAGUCGAGGCAGGUGACACACUAGUCCAGGUCAGAGUUUCACUUUUUCUUCUCUAGAAACCAACGUCUGAUUUUAUCUGCAGACCACACUUUGGAUCAUUGUCACGCUGGAAUAGCCCUGCGAAGCUUCUGGAGAACAGGAGCUCUUGUCUGACACUAUUUUAUUUCAUUGUGUCAUCUAUAAAUCUUGUAAAAUCAACAUGUUUUGCACUUAUGCAACACAAAUGUUUUUCAUAGAUGCCUUCUACAGAGGUUGCUGUUAUGCAAUGUGCUUAUCGCUGUCCGAGCUGUUA
Molecule: long non-coding RNA, 4422 nt
Organism: Oreochromis aureus
Lineage: Eukaryota; Metazoa; Chordata; Actinopteri; Cichliformes; Cichlidae
Source: Ensembl